RNAcentral lists this unclassified non-coding RNA (132 nucleotides) under uncultured fungus. Its description in RNAcentral is "sequence contains ITS1". Lineage: Eukaryota; Fungi. The record is from RNAcentral.
GUAUUUUGUUAUGAUAUAUUACAUUCAAGACUUCAAGUUUGGGCCGAAGCCACGGUUCACAGUGUAUAUUAUGUGUAUAAGGCCAAAAGGCCGAAUUCAAUAAUGAUCCUUCCGCAGGUUCACCUACGGAAA